Molecule: long non-coding RNA, 2515 nt
Filed under: Homo sapiens (human)
Lineage: Eukaryota; Metazoa; Chordata; Mammalia; Primates; Hominidae
Description: non-protein coding lnc-FOXQ1-18:1
Source: RNAcentral
AAUUCAAGAUGGUAUUUUAAAAAAAAACCUCAUAUCUUUUUUCUUUUCUUUAGCCUUCAGUUUAUUCCACAAAUUAAUAAGUAGAAUGAGCCCUGAAACUUCAGUGACUCCUCCCUAUAAAAGCGACAUCUGAAUUUUGCAACCGGCGAAGCUGGGUCAUUGAAUUUUUAUGGCCUAUUUCUCCAUGCCUCUGAUGUAACACAAAGGAGAGCUGUGUCUCCCAGUGCUUUGUCUUGGGUGCCAGAGAUGGUCUCCUGUCUCAGCAUCACCCUUCUGUCUCUCCUGGGAGUACACAUCUUCUGAAUUAGCACUUAAUGCCCAGAGCAUGCCCAGGUCAUCUAGAGAGUAAAAUUGCAAAAUCACAUCAGUUCUCUGGACAUCAUUACUUUGAGGAGGCAUGUCUGGCUACUGAGCAAAUAGAAACCAGUAUACAGCUCUCCAGACAUUUCUCCAUAACCAAGAGGCUAAGAGCCUUGCUGAAGGCCUUCAUUCUCAGUUGCUCGAUCCUUUCCAACAGACCAGAAAUUAGCCUUUCAACUUAGGUCAAUGAUACACAUUUGUUUGGCCAACAACGCAGGCAGUGGAGUGUGGUGCAGGCUCUUGAGAAUCGAUCUACACUGACAAGUGAUCCUAAAUUGCUGCUGCCAACAUCAGUUCUACUUUUGUGGGCUCCUGGUAGAAAAUAUGAAAACCAGUCUUGUCCCUCUCGAUAAGUAUCUCUAUUAUUAUCAUCGUUAUUUGGAGGAAUUUUAAAAACGUGCUGUGUUUUGCAAAAGGGUGCAAGCUGCCAAAUGCCCUGCAUGAGAUGGAGGGUUACUCAUCCAGCACUGUCAGUUUUUCUCAUUGACUUUGGCAGAAAGGUCCGUUUCAGCAGGGAAGAAUCAGCACGUCAGCUGAGACAUGUGAUCUGUUCUCAGCGUCACUGCUAGUGCCAACUCGUAGGAAAUUAGGCGCCUAACUUAUUAAUAGUGAUGAAUCCAUUAGAGUUGACAGGCGCCUGGCUGUGCUGCCGCGGAUUAACUGUGAGUGGUCAGAAGCACUGUUGGUGAACAAGUGCAGAGUCAGAUAAUUAGAGGACCUGCUACUUCUCUCCAGGCUGUUCCAAAAUGUAGAGUUUAGGAAUUGAAUAGACAAAGAUGCAUACAGUGUCUGAGAUUAAUGAUCUGAGCUAAAAUUAGAAAUAUUUAUGGCUUGGCACAAAACCUUAAGUUACUGUAAAAACAGAACAUUAAAAAAAAACCCCUUUUACAACUUGGCAUAAUUGGACUCCUCCUUUUUGUUUGAAACACUUUCCCUUAAUGGCAUGGGGUAUGCGACAGAAAAUGCCAGAAUUCCACCCCUGGGUUGGUCCGUCUGUUGGCGGCAUGCCCACCUGCUUUGAAAUCUAGUUAAUUGAAAUUACCACACAAAUACCUGAAUGAUUUUGAAAAGUCAUUAAUGUGUUUCAAGCCAUAUGCGUACACUUAACAAAGAUAAGGUCACCACUUUAACAGGACACAAACAUGCCUUGAGAUGGGGGCAUGAACUGGGUCUGUGGAGACGUUUACAAGUAGGUAUAUGAGCAGGAGCACCGAAUGCCCUCCUGUUUGAUAAACACAAAGCAACUCAGAACCUGGCUGAGCGAGACACUAAGUUUUGUCUGCAGUGCAGUGUGGCAUUUUGUGAUUACCUUAAAUAAUAUGACUUUCUUUAUCUACAGCAAACAGGAUUUUAUUUAUUUAUUUAUUUAUUUAUUUAUUCAUUCAUUUUGAGAUGGAGUCCUGCUCUGUCACCCAGGAUGGAGUGCAGUGGCAUGAUCUCUGCUCACUGCAAGCUCCCCCUCCCGGGUUCAAGCCAUUUUCCUGCCUCAGCCUCCCGAGUAGCUGGGACUACAGGUGCCCGCCACCGCGCCCGGCUAAUUUUUGUAUUUUUAGUAGACACGGGUUUCACUGUGUUAGCCAGGAUGGUCUCGAUCUCCUGACCUCGUGAUCCAUCCGCCUCGGCCUCCCAAAGUGCUGGGUAAUGAACCCCCCAGUGGUCCGCUUUAAAUCCUGGUAUCACUCGUUCUCGGUAUAUUCAGAAAUUUGAGAUUAUAGAAUUUGUAGCACAGGAGAAUAAUUCGUCUAAAGGAUACAGAGGCGGAGGUUGUGGCAAGCCGAGGUCAUACUAUAAAUUCCAAAAUGCUGCCAAGCUGCACUUUUUUUACACCAUAUUCCUAGAGCUUCAUGCGGGCAGGGCCCGUGUCUGCAUUCUUCACCAACAUAUCCCACCUUGCACAGUUAAGUAUUUUUUGAAGAAAUGAACGACAUCUCUUAAAGACACAGAACACCGAAGCAACAGAAGCUCUUUCCUUAACCAGUUGCUUCCAUCGGCUCCACCUAUAAUGAGAAAUGCUUAGAGCUGAUGCUGCAGUUUGGACAGGUGAAUGAUGAAGAUUGUGGAUGGGCCUUAUUUCCAAUUGCUAAUAGUAAAAGUAAAUACAAGAAUAUUUAGCACCCAACAAAGUAAAGUUUCCAACAAAGAUUAACAGACCUAU